Molecule: long non-coding RNA, 376 nt
Filed under: Ficedula albicollis (Collared flycatcher)
Lineage: Eukaryota; Metazoa; Chordata; Aves; Passeriformes; Muscicapidae
Description: lncRNA (ENSFALG00000027365.1)
Source: RNAcentral
CCCCCCCCCCCCCCCCCCCCCCCCCCCCCCCCCCCCCCCCCCCCCCCCCCCCCCCGCUCUUCCGAUCUGCCACCGGCGCGGCCAGCGCCGCUGUCCUGGCGCGGCUGGAGGAGGUGACGCGGCACUUGGGGACACUGGUGGCCGCCGUCCGGCGCGACACGGCGGUGACACCGUGGGGGACGCGGCGACAGGGAUUCCCCGCCACCGCGCGAGCGCUCGGCGACAUCCUGGUGGCCUUGGGGACAUCGGGGGAGGGACACGAGGAGCUGGCGCGGUGCCUGCAGGACCCCACUGUGUCCCCAAGGUCCCCACGUGACCCCAGUGUCACUCAGUGUCCCCAACGGGACCCCAGUGUCCCCCCAGUGUCCCAUGUGAC